UCUGGGGCCAGGCUGGGACAGGAGGGUGACAUCUCAGAAGGGCCCCUCCAGAGCUGGUUCCUGCCAUGCGCCUCCUGUGCACUGUGGUCCUGGCUAUCCUGGGGGCAGGGCACACGGAUGCUGGCAUCACGCAGACCCCAAGACACAAGAUCACAAGGACAGGAGGGAACUUGACCCUGCAAUGCACCCAGGACAUGAACCACAACUUCAUGUACUGGUACCGACAAGACCCGGGACUGGGCCUGCGGCUGAUCCACUACUCUAAUGGUGUUCCUGAUACCUACAAGGGCGAUGUCCCUGAGGGGUACAAUGUCUCCAGGUCAAACACGAAGGACUUCCCCCUCAUGGUGGGGUCGGCUGCCCCCUCGCAGACAUCUGUGUACUUCUGUGCCAGCAGUGUCUCCACAGCGCUGCACAGCCACCUCAGCCCCUCACAAAAAGGGUUCAGGAAACCCAUGCAGCCCGCUCAGCCUGGGGACCUUGGAGCUGGGGUGGCAGGCGCAGGGGCUUCUGUUGCUGCUGAGGUCUAG
This is a non-coding RNA of Loxodonta africana (African savanna elephant), 530 nucleotides long. The record is from the annotation of a RefSeq genome assembly. Lineage: Eukaryota; Metazoa; Chordata; Mammalia; Proboscidea; Elephantidae.